Molecule: transfer RNA, 79 nt
Filed under: Mesorhizobium sp.
Lineage: Bacteria; Pseudomonadati; Pseudomonadota; Alphaproteobacteria; Hyphomicrobiales; Phyllobacteriaceae
Description: tRNA-OTHER
Source: RNAcentral
GCACCGAUAUCGGCAAAAAAGCGCGGUUCAGGUCCGUGUUCCGCAAGGAGUGGAGGUUCGAGUCCUCUUCUGGGCACCA